CCCCUGAUAGUACCUGAAUCUAAAAUGUCUGACUCAAGAGUAAACUCACAAGAUAUUCAACUCUGCUUAAUUUGGCAGUCAAUAUUUUCUUAGAAUAACAAUGAAAAAUAAGGAUAUUUUUCAAGAUGUUCCAAUAGCUAUUAUAUGCACAAAUUUAUGCUAACAGAGAUGUUAAGUUUCCCAUUGCAGGCCAACAGUAUAAAAGAAGCUGAAAGGCCAUUUAUUUUAUACUUUGGAAUAUUACAUUUACGCAAAAUUCAGGAGUAUGAUAUGUGAAUACAGGGUAAUAAAUCAUUUCUGGCAGAGGGUAAUUAAAGAGAUUAAUAAUAUCCCCCGUGCCUUGAUACUGAAAAUAAAACAAAAUGAAUUUCACAUCUUCUUUGUAUCAUAUUUCUUAUGUAUUUCUUUCCCCCUCAUGCGGAUCAUUCUUCUUAUAAACAAUAAACAUAUAUUCUAGGAUAUAAAUGCAACACUUUCUUCCCAGGAUUACCAUAUACUAAAAAGCAAGUAUUUGCAUUGAUACUAUACUUAUAAAUUUUACUAAAAUCAAUUGACAAAAGUCAUUCAUCAUAAGUCCCUAAAACGCUAUGAAAUUCUAUCACCGACUAUUUGACAAAGUAUUACAAUAUACAGACAGUUCUCAAUUCAACCAAAUACCCAUGUGACAUUCCCGGUGGCCCGAAUGGUCUCUUAAAUAACUAUUUACUGCUCCUCUUUAAUGAGCACUUAGUAUGUUCCUGGGCACUACAGUGAAUGCUUUGCAUUGCCUAAUUUAAUCAUUCCUCCCAUUCUACGAAUAAAUAAAUCUACUCACUUUUUACAGGUAGGACAACAGAGACUUAUCAGGUUUAACUAUUUGCCCAAGAUCAUUUGGCUUCAAAAGGCUGGAUCUGGGGUUUGCAUUUCACCAUAUCUGAUUGGGCAGCUAGGUAGAAGGACUCUAUACAUUCUCUCUUCCUCCUAACUCACUGUUAGGAAGAGACUGCAUGUAUAGACAGUGGAGUCAAUUCGGUAUGCAGUGUCCCCAAGCAAGUCAAGGUCAGAAGGACCUGCGCUCCUCUAGAGGAUCCGCUGUUAGGAUCCAUUCCUGGGAUAGAAUCCAGAAGUGGAGGGAGGAUCAUUCAAGAUGGAAAGAGAACAGAGGCUUGGAACACUCAGGUACAGACCAGCCAGCACAACUGGAGACAAGGAUAGUACAUGAUCUGCAAAGCACUUGCAUCUUUCUGUGCACUUCUGGCUUACGCUUCCUCUUGCCUACUCAUCUUGGAUGCCCUGUGCCUAUCGGGGGGGAUGACAAAGAUGGCGCUACCAACUAUGAUACCACUCAGAUGCAGACCUCGCUUGUCUCAGAUUCUACUACUGUUUUUGCAUUUUCACCAGGAAAAAAAAAAAAGUGCCAGGUAUUAGGAAGUAAGAAAGAUGACUAUAGUAUCCCUGCGACCUUCUAGGAAUUUAUACCUACAGAUAAGUAAGGAAUACAUCUAGUCCAAUCCCUUGAAUAAACCUACAGUAUUUGGGGAACUAGAAUUCAUACAGAAACAUUUCCUUUAACCUGCCUUCAGAAAGCUCGUUCCUCGACUGAGAAAAAGUCACACAUGAACACUUUGAAUAUUUUCCAGUGCGUGUAUAAUAGAAAAAGAGCAGAGGGUGGUUGAUAAGAGUGUCAAAGUAGCAUGCCAGUUUCUAAACUCAUUCCCAGAAGUAAGGCAAUAGGUGUCACUGCCAAAGUUGCUACAGUACACUUGCUUCCCUGGAAAUCAUGCUACAGGUGUGUGGGCUGAUGAUGGCUGUUCUAACCUUCACCCAUGGAAACACAUGAUUGAGGUAUAAGAGAAGGGGGGCCUGUAGAGAGUCUCCAAUGGUCUUUAUAGUCCACUAGCAUCUUUCUAAGGGUUAUGAUGAACACAUCAGUGGUGGUAAAACCAGGCUCUGGAACUACCAUGUGUUCUUUAUUUAAAAAUACUCUCGUGGAGCUCCCUUGUGGCACAGUGGGUUAAGGAUCUGGCGUUGUCAUUCCAGCAGCUUGGGUCACUGCUGCGGCACAGGUUUGAUUCCUGGCCCAGGAACUUCUACAUGCCACAGGUAUGGCCAAAAAAAUACUUUAGCAAUGUACUAACUGGGAUGACUCCAUGUGGAAUUUCCAUUUGGGAUUCAUCUUCUGGAUUCUGUGGAGUUUCUAGGGUGGAUGGAACUGCCAGAUUGAGAUUGGAACAACAGCCUCUAUCCUUUGACACAAAAGUCAAUAGGGUAACAGUGACAACCAUAAACUAAAGACAAGCCCAUUACACAUUUUCUCUCAGCAAAGUCCCCAGAAAAACCGUAUUUAACAGCAUAUUAUCACCUAUGUGAAAGUAAACAGAAGAUAGCAAUUUCAAGAAUGCGUCCAUCCUUGUCUAGGAAAUGUCCCUCAUCUCUUGCACUUCUGGGCAUUUACUUGGCCUGCAGGGAGCUAACACCCUUCCUCCUAGAAAAAAUGUACUCUCUUACACAUGCUGGUGCAUGUCUUUAUUGAGGGAUCAAAUGAACAAAGAGGGAGAGAGAAAGAAGGGAAGCUUGCCAAGAAGUCACAUAGUAUUUAAAGUCAGUAAGACGAGCAAUGAUGCUGACAGUCUGUCUUUCAGGAAGAGUGUACAAGCCUUCAGAUAAGUUUGUCUCUCUCCAAUGUCACUCAAUAACUUCUAAUAUACUGCCUUAGGCCAAUUAGGCAAUCGAAGUCCAGGGCAGGGGGGUUACACAUUAGAACGACACGGAAAGGACACAUCCAAAAAGAGGUCCCAGAUUCCUGCCCUUGACUUACCUCUGGCAGAUUAUGUCCCAAUAAGACGUAAAUCCCCUUUCCUCACCUUUUUCUUUUUUCGCAUUACACAAUUUAAAAUAAAAUGUUUAGAAAGGAAUCUAAGCCUUCCCCCCUCUCCAAAUCCUAUGUCUUAUUAUAUAAAUUGAGGCUUUCUGGUAUUUGUAUGAAAACCAGAGAGCAGGCUUCUGAGAGGUCUGAACAUAUUUACGGCAACCGUUUCAACAUUAUUAUGCUCCCAAAUAAUUUAUAAUGUCAGGAUUAAUAAAGUAAAUAAAACAGCCCUUCGCAUACAAUGGACUUUUUAAAUUCAAGGUGUGAAGGCAGACAGGACAAGGGAAAAGAGCUUCUUUUAUUUUAGUUGACGGUUUUUAUUUACUAAAAUCCCACUACUCCAACAUCAGAACACACAAGCACAAACACGUCCCUGCUCUUUCUCCUAACUAUCAUUCGUUUCCUCCUCUUCCCAUUGGGAUUACACAAGCGGAUGACAGAACUGGGAGGAGAUUAGAGAUAUUUUGUGACUCUUCAACAUCAGCUCCCUCUUUUCAAAUGGCUAAACACACACACACACACACGUGCACACACACACAUACACAGAGGCAUAAGUAUGUACAUUCAUACAUUUUAACCAUUCUCUCCUUCCCCAGUUGUGUUUGGAAUACUGACAGAAGCCAUCACAAUUUAUUUUAAAAGUCUAAUAUCUAUUUCCUGUCUCCUUUACCCAUCGCAUUAUGAAUCAUAAAAACUGAGGUGAUUGCUCUUGUGAAAAGUAUAUGACAAACAUUUACUGUUGAAAAAAUAAUAUGAUGUCCUCAACCAAAACCUGAAUAAAUACAAGAUAAUGAGUAUCUGAGAAAAUAGAGUCAGAACAAAAACUUCACAUUCAUUUGUAAACUACACAGAAAAAAAAGUAAGUGAAAGAGUUAAGCCUCUUCCAAACAGAUCUCAAAUCACCUAAGAAACAUUUUAGUCUUUAUUAUUUUAAGAACAAAAUAAGCCAUUUCAUCUUUUUUCUUCAUUUAAAAAUGCCCAUGAUUUCAUUAGUUCUGUUUUUGGUGUUCUAUUUUGGGGGCUGUGAUGAGAGCUAUUUCACAUCUUCAAGAAGUGGUGGUGCAGAAAUAAUGGGAUCGCUACACCCUAGAUAAUUUAAAAUGGAAAUCCGAGUGGCAGUUCUGGGAGUGAUAAAAAGAAGCCAUAUGCACACUUCGACUCUCUUGAGCCCCAGCAAAGUUUUCAGAGUCUUCUAAGACACUGAAAGCAGAAUUUUCUCUGGUCCAACUAUGCUGUGGUUUGACUCAUCUAAUUUUAUUCUAGCGCAAUCUAGAGGAAGCCAUACAGACACACAAAAAUGGGUAUAUUGGAUUCUGAUAGUCUCUUGUAAUUCUAACGAGAUGGCCACAGAUAAAACUACUUUUAUCUAAAAAUACAUGUUUAACAUUUUAGCUAUUUUCCCAUAGUGAAAAAAAAAAACCUAAGGGCAGAUCUCACUAACAGCUUCUGAGGCUUCAUUAUCCUGAUGACUGUUCUAGAAUUCUGGUCAGUAGCAAUUAUCAGUCAUAGCUGGCUCACCUCAGAAGACAAAAGGAAUGGCCUGAAAAACUCCAUAAUGUGGUUGCUGUGAGCAGGGAAGAGCUCAAGGUGCAUUCAGUAUCCUCAUUAGAUUGCCCAGCUGACAUGCUCAAGAUCUCAGGCAGACACGGAGGCACUACUGCAGGAUCCUUCUUGGGCAUCCACUGCCCUGAACUACCCUCCCCGUGCCCUGGUGCUCUCACGCCUUGACCUCCCUGCCCAGGUACCCAAGUCCCCAUCCUGCUCCAUCCUCUCUUCCCGAUACUUCAGACCGGACUCCCGAAAUUUACGUCCCAUUCCUCUAUCAUCAACAUUACAUUAAAUCUGAGAAGUCCCUAUUUCGUAGGUCUUUCCCUAAGUGUAUUCAAAGUGGUCCCUUUCUAAUAGUCCCUGAAGAGUAUGUUCUCACCUCAUCUAUUUAUUUUACUACCACUCUGCAGCCCAAGAUGGGACAACCAGGGCUCAGUACAGCUAACAAUGAACAAAUGAAUGACAUAAUUGGCAAGUUAAUGGACAUCGUUGAAACCCUCGGGCAACUGGGAGGCCAGCAGGGUCCUCCACCAUCCAAGGAUUAGCUAUCAACCUGGGGGCAUCUGGAGUAAGAGGAAAGGUUUGAGAUACAGCUUCGAGUUUACCUCAUCACUUGUUCCAUGGGUAGGAAAAGAAAGGGCUGCAAAUGGAGGAGGUAUAACUCUGAGCUUUGAAUAGUAAGGGAACGAAAACAGGACUGCCCGAGUAUAGUCAGAAAAUGAAACCUACCACCGCU
This 5132-nucleotide long non-coding RNA is filed under the name Sus scrofa (pig). RNAcentral describes it as "lncRNA (ENSSSCG00000056048.1)". The record is from RNAcentral. Lineage: Eukaryota; Metazoa; Chordata; Mammalia; Artiodactyla; Suidae.